CUACGGGCGGCUGCAGUGGGGAAUAUUGCACAAUGGGCGCAAGCCUGAUGCAGCCAUGCCGCGUGUAUGAAGAAGGCCUUCGGGUUGUAAAGUACUUUCAGCGGGGAGGAUGGGAGUAAAGUUAAUACCUUUGCUCAUUGACGUUACCCGCAGAAGAAGCACCGGCUAACUCCGUGCCAGCAGCCGCGGGUAAUACGGAGGGUGCAAGCGUUAAUCGGAAUUACUGGGCGUAAAGCGCACGCAGGCGGUUUGUUAAGUCAGAUGUGAAAUCCCCGGGCUCAACCUGGGAACUGCAUCUGAUACUGGCAAGCUUGAGUCUCGUAGAGGGGGGUAGAAUUCCAGGUGUAGCGGUGAAAUGCGUAGAGAUCUGGAGGAAUACCGGUGGCGAAGGCGGCCCCCUGGACGAAGACUGACGCUCAGGUGCGAAAGCGUGGGGAGCAAACAGGAUUAGAUACCCUCGUAGUC
RNAcentral lists this ribosomal RNA (465 nucleotides) under uncultured bacterium. Its description in RNAcentral is "partial 16S ribosomal RNA". It matches the Rfam family "Bacterial small subunit ribosomal RNA", at positions 339 to 795 of the family's 1533-position model. The record is from RNAcentral.